UACAGAGGUCUCAAGCGUUGUUCGGAUUCAUUGGGCGUAAAGGGUGCGUAGGCGGCGCGGUAAGUCGGGCGUGAAAUCUCGGAGCUUAACUUCGAAACUGCAUUCGAUACUGCCGUGCUUGAGGACUGGAGAGGAGACUGGAAUUUACGGUGUAGCGGUGAAAUGCGUAGAUAUCGGGAGGAACACCUGUGGCGAAAGCGGCGCACUGGACCGCUUCUGACGCUGAGGCGCGAAAGCUAGGGGAGCAAACAGG
This 253-nucleotide ribosomal RNA is filed under the name uncultured bacterium. RNAcentral describes it as "partial 16S ribosomal RNA". It matches the Rfam family "Bacterial small subunit ribosomal RNA", at positions 524 to 776 of the family's 1533-position model. The record is from RNAcentral.